CCUUAGCUGCCUGUACAUAACAAAGUAUAAAACUUGCACCUCAAACGCACAAGCCAAAAGCAACUGUAGAAGUGCUUCCUUUCAGAUUGUCUUGCCUUAACUUGUCACAUUAACAUUAUUGCUCAAGAAACCAUUUUCAUACUUGAUGAAACUUGAAAGUAACAGAAGAGAUUAAAUUCCGUAUUUGUUGAAAUUUAGUCAGUGAGAGAGAGGAAUCUUGGUGACGGUGAAUGCAAAAGCCCUCUCAAAAAUUCAACUUCAAAAACAAGUACAAAUUUCCACAUUUGCUUCUUUUAUGCAGUUUUGGUGAAUUGGCAGAGUCAACCCUACAUUGCAUAUUUAAGGGUUGUGGUGGUGGAAAUAUCAUCUAAAACUUGAGGUCAUGAUUUAUAACCUUGCUUGGGAUUCGUUAUUGAUACUUUGAUUUGAUGAGUAUGGCCACGGCCUAGAGUAACUAGUUCAAUGUCCUUCCACUAACCUUGACUUAAUUAGCCUAUAAUAUCUUGCAAUUGCAUGCAUUCGGGGUGAUUCAUGUCAUUUGUUGUUAUCCACGCCCUAAUAAUGUGAUUAUGCAUUCCAAAAUUUAGAACUGGGGAAUUAAACCGGAAACGGUAACAGUACAUUGUAGAAAAACAUUGACAUCGAUUUCUUAAUACUUGGAAAUGGAGGAUUUUUCCAUGAAACAGAUACAUUGUCACCGUAGCAUCCCGUGCUACAAAAAUAUUUGUAAGUUUUCAUUCAGAUAUUGUUAUAUUAUUAGUAAAUGAGUUCAUAAUAAUGAUUUACUGGUGUCAUGUAAGUUGUUUAAAAAUAUAUAUAUAUAAAGAAAGGGUCGACUAAACUGGGCGUAAAUGGUCAAUUUGGUAACGUUUUGACCAAAGAAAUGGCCACGAUCUCUCGCACCCGAACUGAACUAGUUUGGACAUAAUUGAUCCAUGAAUUCAAAGUUAAAUAGUUCAACUAAGCUGAGACUGCGUGAUGAACACUCGCAGAAGACAAAAUGGAAAUGCUAAAAAUUCAUUCAAGUUGGGAGUCGGGAGUCGUAUCGAGCAUUCAUGCGUCCGUGUUGGUUUGGUUCAUCGAGUUUCUACUAUAUAUGUUUGAAUUUAAACAGAGGGGGUCGAGAGAAUGGACCACAUUUCUGUUGAAAUCAAAUCAUGCUAAUCUGUAGCUAUAAUGGACUCUAUAUAUGGAACGUUGGCUACAGUACCUGUCUGUCUCAAUCUCAUCUUUGUAAAGUCAUGGUGCUGAUAAGCAUGAAAGCAGUAAACUAUUAUUGUAUAUGUAUAAAGACAUUAUACAUAUACUAAAACUCUGUUUUUUUAGCACUGUUCAUUAACAGUGAAAGGCAAAAAUGCCCUCGGUUGCUUCUUUGUUAGUUGUAAUGUUGCCUACUUUCUACAAUGAAUUGUUGGUUUUGCCCAUGAUAGCCAUAAUCAUUGUUUAUCUCGAUGCUUCGAUUCUGUCUUCUUCGCUUUACCUUUCAAAUUGGUUUUGUCCCUCAUGAAUCUCUGCUUUUGUCCGUCUUCAUCUCGCUCUCUUCCUCUCAAAUCAUGUGUUCUUUUUUUCGCAAAAUAGUCACGAGUAAAUUUGGUUUUCAUUUAUAUGGGGAUGAUGUUUCUAGUCUCCAUUUCCAGAAUAGUCUUGCAUAUCUGUAAAUAUUAGACUAGAAAAAAAAAACAAAAAACAAAAAAGUUAGCAUUCAGUCUUUAGCUACUAAUGUUCUUUAAUUGAGGUCUUACUAGUUUUCAAAUUUUUAUCGAAGUCUCUAAUGUAUUAAUGAAUUUACAUGUUAGUUACAUAAUUUCUUAAAAUAAACAUUGGUGAUUGAUUUAGGGUUUUAAUACUCACAAAUACAUUAAUCUCCUAAUUAAUAUUCAAUUUAAAACAUUUCCAAAAUUAUAAAAUAAAAUAAAAUAAGUUUGUGCUUGUUGCAUAUUAGAUUAGGAAUGUAAUUGUACAAAUCCUAAAGUAUUUGGGAUAUCCUUAGAAGAUUCUCUAGGGUUAGAUGUUAUCCUAAUAGAGUUGUAAUCCUAUUAAGGUCAAGAAUUUACCUUCCCUACUACUAAUAGAGUUUUUAUCCUAUUAGGGUUAAAUGAGGUGAUAAACACACACCUCACAAUACACAUCUCUCUCAUCUCUCUUCUCUCUUUAUGCAGUCGGCCCCUCUCUCCCUAUCUUUAUUAUAUUUCAGUAAAUUAGGCUUACAACAGUACUCAUUAAUUUUAAAAACAAUUACAUUAUCCAAAUUAUAAAACUAUAUUUUGGACAGAAACCAAGGAUUUGAUUUAUUUCAAAGAGUGACAAAAUUUAUUCAUAUGCACGUAAAUGAUGUUAUGGUUGUUUUUCUAAUUGCUUUUUGCAUUUAUAAUUUUACCCCUUUAUAAUUGAAAAUGAGUCAUUAUGUAUUGUUUCUUUCUCUCUCCUCUUAUUUCUUCUUUGUCUUUUUUCUCUCUACCUUCUCAUUCUCACUCAUGUCUCUGUCCCCUCCCUCCUCCUUAGAGCACUUUCACCCCUCUCAAGUUCCCUAGGGGAUAGUGAAUUAAAUCCCUU
This 2553-nucleotide long non-coding RNA is filed under the name Malus domestica (apple). RNAcentral describes it as "long non-coding RNA (MDOM_LNC001611)". Lineage: Eukaryota; Viridiplantae; Streptophyta; Magnoliopsida; Rosales; Rosaceae. The record is from RNAcentral.